GGGCGCGUAGCUCAAUGGUUAGUAGCUGGUUCCUCAUAAGAACUUGGUUGGGGGUUCGAGUCCCUCCGCGCCCACCA
This 77-nucleotide transfer RNA is filed under the name Devosia marina. Its description in RNAcentral is "Devosia sp. L53-10-65 tRNA-Ile". It matches the Rfam family "tRNA". Rfam says of the family: Transfer RNA (tRNA) molecules are approximately 80 nucleotides in length. Lineage: Bacteria; Pseudomonadati; Pseudomonadota; Alphaproteobacteria; Hyphomicrobiales; Devosiaceae. The record is from RNAcentral.